RNAcentral lists this ribosomal RNA (482 nucleotides) under uncultured bacterium. RNAcentral describes it as "bacterial SSU rRNA". It matches the Rfam family "Bacterial small subunit ribosomal RNA", at positions 20 to 507 of the family's 1533-position model. The record is from RNAcentral.
UGGCUCAGGACGAACGCUGGCGGCGUGCUUAACACAUGCAAGUCGAACGAGAAGAGAUGAGAAGCUUGCUUCUUAUCAAUUCGAGUGGCAAACGGGUGAGUAACGCGUAAGCAACCUGCCCUUCAGAUGGGGACAACAGCUGGAAACGGCUGCUAAUACCGCAUAUGCCUAAGUAUCACAUGAUACAAUAGGGAAAGGAGCAAUCCGCUGAUAGAUGGGCUUGCGUCUGAUUAGAUAGUUGGUGGGGUAACGGCCUACCAAGUCGACGAUCAGUAGCCGGACUGAGAGGUUGAACGGCCACAUUGGGACUGAGAUACGGCCCAGACUCCUACGGGAGGCAGCAGUGGGGAAUAUUGGUCAAUGGGGGAAACCCUGAACCAGCAACGCCGCGUGAAGGAAGAAGGCUUUCGGGUUGUAAACUUCUUUGACGAGGGACGAAGGACGUGACGGUACCUCGAAAACAAGCCACGGCUAACUACGUG